UACGUAGGGGGCAAGCGUUGUCCGGAAUUAUUGGGCGUAAAGAGCGCGUAGGCGGUCCGGUAAGUCGGCUGUGAAAGUCAAGGGCUCAACCCUUGAAAGCCGGCCGAUACUGUCGGACUAGAGUCCGGAAGAGGCGAGUGGAAUUCCCGGUGUAGCGGUGAAAUGCGCAGAUAUCGGGAGGAACACCAGCGGCGAAGGCGGCGACCUGGACAGGUACUGACACUCAACUACGAAAGCGUGGGGAGCAAACAGG
Molecule: ribosomal RNA, 253 nt
Filed under: uncultured bacterium
Lineage: Bacteria
Description: partial 16S ribosomal RNA
Rfam family: Bacterial small subunit ribosomal RNA
Source: RNAcentral